Long non-coding RNA from Sapajus apella (tufted capuchin), 648 nucleotides. RefSeq lists it as uncharacterized. The record is from RefSeq and is a predicted model, not a curated record. The transcript has 3 exons. Lineage: Eukaryota; Metazoa; Chordata; Mammalia; Primates; Cebidae.
GGGCUACAGGGGCUGGACCAGGGGCUGGGGUUGGGCAUAGCUUGGGCUGACUUGCAGUUGCUGGCCUUGAAGAAAGGAGAAGCAAAGUCAUUGUGAUUGGAGGAAGGAGAUUCAGGGAGCAAGUAUAGCUCUUAGUAUCAGUUCCAAUGGGUUGGAUACACGAAAGAGGGAGUAAAAACUGGACUGGGGCUUCAAGAGUGUGGGGACUAUAUUUGUAUUUCCUCCCAGUGUAUUCACAGUGCAUCUGGUUCACCAAAGGAACUAUACUCUGGGGGUGAUUUUAUCGAUGUGUGGCAGAAGGACUAUGGAAUAGCGAGCUACUUGUGCAUCUCUUCUGUUCCGUGUGGUCAUGUUGGCAGCUUGAAAUUUAUCAAGUGGGAAGCAUUUACAUCAAAGAAAUUGGCAAGCUGGCAAACAAGGAAACAAGGAGAACUGUGUGCUCAGCCCUCCACAGUGGCAUGGAUUAUGAGGAGGUGAUGGUCCUUCCCUGCCAAGCUCCUGAGACACUGUCACUCCGGAAUCCAAAAAAGAGAUUCAGGCAGGGAUGUGGGAAAAUUGGAACCCUGCACGCUGUUGUUAGGAAUGCCAAAUGGUGCAGCUGCUAUGGAAAACAGUACGGAGGUUCCUCAAAAAAUUAAAAAUAGAAUU